CGGACGGGUGAGUAACACGUGGAUAACCUACCUAUAAGACUGGGAUAACUUCGGGAAACCGGAGCUAAUACCGGAUAAUAUAUUGAACCGCAUGGUUCAAUAGUGAAAGACGGUUUUGCUGUCACUUAUAGAUGGAUCCGCGCCGCAUUAGCUAGUUGGUAAGGUAACGGCUUACCAAGGCAACGAUGCGUAGCCGACCUGAGAGGGUGAUAGGCCACACUGGAACUGAGACACGGUCCAGACUCCUACGGGAGGCAGCAGGC
Molecule: ribosomal RNA, 263 nt
Filed under: uncultured Staphylococcus sp.
Lineage: Bacteria; Bacillati; Bacillota; Bacilli; Caryophanales; Staphylococcaceae
Description: partial 16S ribosomal RNA
Rfam family: Bacterial small subunit ribosomal RNA
Source: RNAcentral